Molecule: long non-coding RNA, 331 nt
Organism: Tachysurus fulvidraco (yellow catfish)
Lineage: Eukaryota; Metazoa; Chordata; Actinopteri; Siluriformes; Bagridae
Exons: 2
Source: RefSeq, a predicted model, not a curated record
AAUGGUAAUUAUAGUAAAAGGCCUGAGAGAUGUCCCGCGUCCCAAAUGACUCUCCCACGAACAUGAAGUGCACUAAGCGCCCAUUUGGGUCGCACCCUGAUGUAGUGCACUCGAAUAGGGAGGAAAAGGCUAUUAGGAACACAGCCCGUUACUCGUUAGGGUCACGAGGAAACGUAAAUAAACCUUCAAACGGCGCAUGAACGGGGCUGGUCGCUAAAUACAGGACACCGGAAGUGGAGGGCACGUUUAAAGGGUGUGAAUAGCGCGCUGUGAUUGGUUCAAAUCUGAUCUCGACUGGGUGACGUUUUACUAUAAAGACAUUUUUUGUUGU